UACGAGGGGUGCAAGCGUUGCUCGGAAUUAUUGGGCGUAAAGGGUAGGUAGGUGGUCCUGUUUGUCAGAGGUGAAAUCCUUGGGCUUAACCCAAGAAGUGCCUCUGAAACGGCAGGACUCGAGUUCUGGAGAGGGUCGUGGAAUUCCCGGUGUAGCGGUGAAAUGCGUAGAGAUCGGGAGGAACACCAGAGGCGAAGGCGGCGACCUGGACAGAUACUGACACUCAACUACGAAAGCGUGGGUAGCAAACAGG
This 253-nucleotide ribosomal RNA is filed under the name uncultured bacterium. Its description in RNAcentral is "partial 16S ribosomal RNA". It matches the Rfam family "Bacterial small subunit ribosomal RNA", at positions 524 to 776 of the family's 1533-position model. The record is from RNAcentral.